UACGUAGGGGGCAAGCGUUGUCCGGAUUUAUUGGGCGUAAAGAGCGUGUAGGCGGCCAUACAGGUCCGUUGUGAAAACUGGAGGCUUAACCUCCAGACGUCGAUGGAAACCGUAUGGCUAGAGUCCGGAAGAGGAGAGUGGAAUUCCUGGUGUAGCGGUGAAAUGCGCAGAUAUCAGGAGGAACACCAAUUGCGAAGGCAGCUCGCUGGGACGUAACUGACGCUGAGACGCGAAAGCGUGGGGAGCAAACAGG
Molecule: ribosomal RNA, 253 nt
Filed under: uncultured bacterium
Lineage: Bacteria
Description: partial 16S ribosomal RNA
Rfam family: Bacterial small subunit ribosomal RNA
Source: RNAcentral